Molecule: non-coding RNA, 226 nt
Filed under: Haloplasma contractile
Lineage: Bacteria; Bacillati; Mycoplasmatota; Mollicutes; Haloplasmatales; Haloplasmataceae
Description: T-box sequence
Rfam family: T-box leader
About the family: Uncharged tRNA acts as the effector for transcription antitermination of genes in the T-box leader family.
Source: RNAcentral
CUAAAAACAGUGAAGAGGAGAGUAACUCUUAAUGGUCGACAAAGCAAGUUAGGGAGGAUGAGAGCCUAAUUCAGAUUUGAGAGCGAAGAACACCUCUGAGUUUCUAAUCGAAUUGAAAUCAUUCAUAGUAGAAUUAGACGGUAUCCACCGUUAAAAGGAUUUGCUUAAGUGGUCAUCACUGACAACUAGGGUGGUACCGCGGAUUUUACAGCCAUUCGUCCCUAAA